AGUGAACGCUGGCGGUAGGCCUAACACAUGCAAGUCGAACGGCAGCACAGUAAGAGCUUGCUCUUACGGGUGGCGAGUGGCGGACGGGUGAGGAAUACAUCGGAAUCUACUUUUUCGUGGGGGAUAACGUAGGGAAACUUACGCUAAUACCGCAUACGACCUACGGGUGAAAGCAGGGGAUCUUCGGACCUUGCGCGAUUGAAUGAGCCGAUGUCGGAUUAGCUAGUUGGCGGGGUAAAGGCCCACCAAGGCGACGAUGCGUAGCUGGUCUGAGAGGAUGAGCGGCCACACUGGAACUGAGACACGGUCCAGACUCCUACGGGAGGCAGCAGUGGGGAAUCUUCGACAAUGGGCGAAAGCCUGACGGAGCAACGCCGCGUGAGUGAUGAAGGUCUUCGGAUCGUAAAGCUCUUUUAUUAGGAAAGAAAAAAUGGGUAAGUAACCCCGCACGUCUUGACGGUACCUAAUAAGAAAGCCACGGCUAACUACGUG
This 492-nucleotide ribosomal RNA is filed under the name uncultured bacterium. RNAcentral's name for it is "partial 16S ribosomal RNA". It matches the Rfam family "Bacterial small subunit ribosomal RNA", at positions 29 to 507 of the family's 1533-position model. The record is from RNAcentral.